CAGCCGCCACGGUAAUACAGUGGGUGCGAGCGUUAAUCGGAUUUACUGGGCGUAAAGCGUGCGUAGGCGGCUAAUUGAGUCGGAUGUGAAAUCCCCGAGCUUAACUUGGGAAUUGCAUUCGAUACUGGUUAGCUAGAGUGUGGGAGAGGAUGGUAGAAUUCCAGGUGUAGCGGUGAAAUGCGUAGAGAUCUGGAGGAAUACCGAUGGCGAAGGCAGCCAUCUGGCCUAACACUGACGCUGAGGUACGAAAGCAUGGGGAGCAAACAGGAUUAGAUACCCCCGUAGUCCCUGUCUCUUAUAC
RNAcentral lists this ribosomal RNA (301 nucleotides) under uncultured bacterium. Its description in RNAcentral is "partial 16S ribosomal RNA". It matches the Rfam family "Bacterial small subunit ribosomal RNA", at positions 509 to 807 of the family's 1533-position model. The record is from RNAcentral.